RNAcentral lists this transfer RNA (71 nucleotides) under Vibrio cholerae HC-06A1. RNAcentral's name for it is "partial tRNA-Met". It matches the Rfam family "tRNA". From Rfam's summary of the family: Transfer RNA (tRNA) molecules are approximately 80 nucleotides in length. Their secondary structure includes four short double-helical elements and three loops (D, anti-codon, and T loops). Further hydrogen bonds mediate the characteristic L-shaped molecular structure. tRNAs have two regions of fundamental functional importance: the anti-codon, which is responsible for specific mRNA codon recognition, and the 3' end, to which the tRNAs corresponding amino acid is attached (by aminoacyl-tRNA synthetases). tRNAs cope with the degeneracy of the genetic code in two manners: having more than one tRNA (with a specific anti-codon) for a particular amino acid; and 'wobble' base-pairing, i.e. permitting non-standard base-pairing at the 3rd anti-codon position. Lineage: Bacteria; Pseudomonadati; Pseudomonadota; Gammaproteobacteria; Vibrionales; Vibrionaceae. The record is from RNAcentral.
CGCGGGGUGGAGCAGCUUGGUAGCUCGUCGGGCUCAUAACCCGAAGGUCGUCGGUUCAAAUCCGGCCCCCG